This 405-nucleotide ribosomal RNA is filed under the name uncultured bacterium. RNAcentral's name for it is "partial 16S ribosomal RNA". It matches the Rfam family "Bacterial small subunit ribosomal RNA", at positions 28 to 526 of the family's 1533-position model. The record is from RNAcentral.
GAUGAACGCUGGCGGCGUGCCUAAUACAUGCAAGUCGAGCGAAGCGGGGACGGGUGAGUAACACGUGGAUAACCUCCUAUAAGACUGGGAUAACUUCGGGAAACCGGAGCUAAACCGGAUACUUAUCGAUGGAUCCGCGCUGCAUUAGCUAGUUGGUAAGGUAACGGCUUACCAAGGCAACGAUGCAUAGCCGACCUGAGAGGGUGAUAGGCAAAACGGGAACUGAGAAACGGGACAGAAUCAUACGGGAGGCAGCAGUAGGGAAUCUUGCGCAAUGGGCGAAAGCCUGACGGAGCAACGCCGCGUGAGUGAUGAAGGUCGUCGGAUCGUAAAACUCUGUUAGUAGGGAAGCGGUACCUAAUCAGAAAGCCACGGCUAACUACGUGCCAGCAGCCGCGGUAAUUC